AUGGCGCUCGCAGCAGCAACCCUCGGCUCCUCUCCGCUCGUAUCUAUCUCUGUUUCCGCCGCUAGGAUGAACAGCAGCGGCUUGUCCGUGUCGUUCGGGGCGCGCCGUGUGCCGGGGAUUUCUGUGCAAAUUCAUUCCCAGCGGAGGAGCAUGGUCAUGGCAGCGGCAGCGAGAGGGGAGGAAGGGGCCGUGAAGACCUUCGUGGAGGAGAUGAGGGCUACGGCGAUGCGGCUGCACACCAAGGACCAGGCCGGCGAAGGGGAGAAGGAGCUCAAGGGACCGUCACUCCACGAGCAGGAGCCUAACCUUGAGGCCUACUUGCGCUUCCUCGUCGACAGCAAGCUCAUCUUCCAAACGCUCGAGAACAUCGUCAACCGCGCCGCUGUCCCAUGUUAUGCGGAGUUUCGGAAUACUGGGUUAGAGAGAUCAGAGGCACUGAAGAAAGAUCUGAAAUGGUUCGGCGAACAGGGUCACACAAUUCCAGAACCAUCUGCUCUUGAAACUACAUAUGCUUCCUAUCUCGAAGAAUUGUCUAAAAAGGACCAGCAAGCAUUUUUCUGUCACUUCUAUAAUUUGUACUUUGCUCAAUCUGCUGGAGGUCGAAUGACCGGCAAAAAGAUUGCUGAGAAGAUUCUGAACAAGAAAGAGCUGGAAUUCUACAAGUGGGAAGGUACCCUGUCCGAGCUGCUACAGAAUGUCCGCAAAAAACUUAACCAAGUUGCUUCUAGCUGGACCCAGGAAGAGAAGAACCACUGCCUGGAGGAGACUGAGACGGCGUUCGCCUAUUCAGUAGAUCGUCUGCGCAAGAUAUUCACCUGA
This 819-nucleotide ribosomal RNA is filed under the name Triticum aestivum (bread wheat). Its description in RNAcentral is "partial small subunit ribosomal RNA". Lineage: Eukaryota; Viridiplantae; Streptophyta; Magnoliopsida; Poales; Poaceae. The record is from RNAcentral.